This 446-nucleotide ribosomal RNA is filed under the name uncultured bacterium. RNAcentral describes it as "partial 16S ribosomal RNA". It matches the Rfam family "Bacterial small subunit ribosomal RNA", at positions 338 to 795 of the family's 1533-position model. The record is from RNAcentral.
CCUACGGGGGGCAGCAGUCGAGAAUCAUUCACAAUGGGGGAAACCCUGAUGGUGCGACGCCGCGUGGGGGAAUGAAGGUCUUCGGAUUGUAAACCCCUGUCAUGUGGGAGCAAAUUAAAAAGAUAGUACCACAAGAGGAAGAGACGGCUAACUCUGUGCCAGCAGCCGCGGUAAUACAGAGGUCUCAAGCGUUGUUCGGAAUCACUGGGCGUAAAGCGUGCGUAGGCUGUUUCGUAAGUCGUGUGUGAAAGGCGCGGGCUCAACCCGCGGACGGCACAUGAUACUGCGAGACUAGAGUAAGGGAGGGGGAACCGGAAUUCUCGGUGUAGCAGUGAAAUGCGUAGAUAUCGGGAGGAACACUCGUGGCGAAGGCGGGUUCCUGGACAUUAACUGACGCUGAGGCACGAAGGCCAGGGGAGCGAAAGGGAUUAGAUACCCCGGUAGUC